UACAGAGGUCUCGAGCGUUGUUCGGAUUCAUUGGGCGUAAGGGGUGCGUAGGUGGCGCCGUAAGUCGGGUGUGAAAUUUCGGAGCUUAACUCCGAAACUGCAUUCGAUACUGCGGUGCUUGAGGACUGGAGAGGAGACUGGAAUUCAUGGUGUAGCAGUGAAAUGCGUAGAGAUCAUGAGGAAGACCAGUGGCGAAGGCGGGUCUCUGGACAGUUCCUGACACUGAGGCACGAAGGCCAGGGGAGCAAACGGG
Molecule: ribosomal RNA, 253 nt
Filed under: uncultured bacterium
Lineage: Bacteria
Description: partial 16S ribosomal RNA
Rfam family: Bacterial small subunit ribosomal RNA
Source: RNAcentral